This 76-nucleotide transfer RNA is filed under the name Anguilla anguilla (European eel). Its description in RNAcentral is "tRNA-OTHER". The record is from RNAcentral. Lineage: Eukaryota; Metazoa; Chordata; Actinopteri; Anguilliformes; Anguillidae.
GGCAGUGUAGCAUAAUGGGUAAUGUUCUGGUCUUGUAACCUGAAGGUCGCAGGUUUGAAUCCCAGGUACACUGCCG